This 426-nucleotide ribosomal RNA is filed under the name Triticum aestivum (bread wheat). RNAcentral describes it as "partial small subunit ribosomal RNA". Lineage: Eukaryota; Viridiplantae; Streptophyta; Magnoliopsida; Poales; Poaceae. The record is from RNAcentral.
AUGGCUGGGUGCAUUUGGAGCAAAGGAAUGAUUGGGGCAUUUGAGGAAGAAUCUGUUAUUAGGGAACUGCGGAGUAUACACUUGCAGAACUGCCCAAGGCUCAAGUUUGUCCUCCCAAUCUCAUCAUUCAUAUUACCCAGCCUGGAGACCAUCCAAAUAGUCCACUGCGGUAAUCUCAGGCAGAUCUUCCCAUGGGAUGUGAAUUAUGAAGCUGGAAAAGAAGACACUGUGAAGAAUUUUCCAAAGCUAAAGCACAUUUACCUACACCAACUCGACUGCCUGGAGCAAAUAUGCGAGGCCAAGAUGUUUGCUCCCAAGCUUGAGAAGAUCAGGAUAAGGGGUUCUUGGGGCCUUAGGCGCCUCCCGGCUGUGGGCCUCCACCAUGGAAUCAAUCUUCCCAUUGUGGACUAUGAGAAGGACUUGUAG